Molecule: long non-coding RNA, 1386 nt
Organism: Lathyrus oleraceus (garden pea)
Lineage: Eukaryota; Viridiplantae; Streptophyta; Magnoliopsida; Fabales; Fabaceae
Exons: 2
Source: RefSeq, a predicted model, not a curated record
AGCCCAAUCCUAUGGGGUGUAAGGCCAAGUGAUGGUGUGUUAUGCGAAACAGACUCGGGCUCAUCCAAGGCCCAAAGCAAAAAGAAACAAGAAGGAGCCAAAGGCUCACUUCCUGCAUCUUCCUCAUGAUCAGAUGUGACCACGAGAAUGAAAUAGGUCGCGAAGGACCAGGUUGCGCCGACUCCGUCGUCGAUAGCGGCAAUCUCAAACGACGACGCCUCCGCGCCACUCUCUGAAUCCUUCUGUCCUAAUAGAGAAACGACUUAUCCACCAACACCAAACGAUAGAUAACGUGAUUCGGUGCUUACCAGCGACGACAACGACGAGUUCGAAGCUCUGAUCCUUCGAUCCUCUCCGGCGCGAUAUGCUUUUGUUGCAUGGCUACGUUUCACUUUCUCGUUGCUUUUCACGAUUGGCUUGGUGCUUAGAAUUGGUGUGGUGACGUUGUUGUGUUAUUUCUGUCUGCAGGUGGAAGACUUCCAGAGCUCCUGUUUGAAAAUGGAGGAAAGUUCAAAGCUCCAAGACGAAGCCAAUCGGAGAUGAUGAAGAUGAGAUCGCCGGAAGUUAUUCUGGUUGAGAUGGUGCGGAUGGAUAACGUAGAAACAGGAGAAUGUUGAAGAAAGAGAGAAAGAGUUUGAUGAGGAUAUGAGGUGCGGGAAGAAGGAUCGGAUUUCUGUUGUCCAUUUUUGUGAAUCUUCUAUGUAGUUCUAUUAUGAGGAUUAGUGGAAUUUCUGAAUGGUUGCAGAAAGAUGGCGGAUUCGGUUUUGAUCGGUGGCAGGUCGUUAAAGGAAGCUGUGAAGGUUGUUAGAGUUUCAGUUAGAGGCACUGUUCUGCGGAUUGAGGGGUGAGUUGACGGAGAGGAAUGGGGAGUGAAGAGGUUAGAGGCGCAAGAGGAAGAAGAAAGUGGAAGAUUUUGAAGAAGAGCUUUGGAUGCUUUGAGGCGUUUACAGGUUUUCAUUUGAUUCCGUUCCCUCGUUGGCCCCCUUCUUUAGUGAGCUGCAUUUCAGCUGGUGUAAAGCUUUGUUUCAUGUUCAAUAGCUGCGAUUGGCGUUUGUAUUGUGGCAGCUUGUGUUUGCUGGCUUACGGUUAGCUCGCGUCGUUUGCAGCAUUCGGAUGCCGUUUGGCUUGUUGCAGCUUGCAAUUUACGCUGCAGUUUCUGGUUGGAGUGUUUGUUGCAGCUUCGGGUUUGGCUUACGUCGCCGUCGGCUUGUAGCUGCGGUUUAUUUUGGCAGCAGCUUUCUGAGUCGUGGUUUAGUUCCAUUUUGUACCUCGCGGUUUCAAUUGCCUUGUUGCGUGUUUUGGUGUAGCUUCGCGUUGUACUUUGCUGAUGUAGAUUGCAGCCUUUAUUCACUUUCCAAUGGCAUUUUUUCUUCUCUUAUUUGGAUA